Molecule: ribosomal RNA, 414 nt
Filed under: uncultured bacterium
Lineage: Bacteria
Description: bacterial SSU rRNA
Rfam family: Bacterial small subunit ribosomal RNA
Source: RNAcentral
GAGCGCCGUAGCAAUACGGAGCGGCAGACGGGAGAGUAACACGUGGGAACGUGCCCUUUGGUUCGGAACAACCCAGGGAAACUUGGGCUAAUACCGGAUAAGCCCUUACGGGGAAAGAUUUAUCGCCGAAGGAUCGGCCCGCGUCUGAUUAGCUAGUUGGUGGGGUAAUGGCCCACCAAGGCGACGAUCAGUAGCUGGUCUGAGAGGAUGAUCAGCCUCACUGGGACUGAGACACGGCCCAGACCCCUACGGGAGGCAGCAGUGGGGAAUAUUGGACAAUGGGCGCAAGCCUGAUCCAGCCAUGCCGCGUGGGUGAUGAAGGCCCUAGGGUUGUAAAGCCCUUUCGGCGGGGAAGAUAAUGACGGUACCCGCAGAAGAAGCCCCGGCUAACUUCGUGCCAGCAGCCGCGGUAAU